Long non-coding RNA from Carassius carassius (crucian carp), 553 nucleotides. RefSeq lists it as uncharacterized. The transcript has 3 exons. Lineage: Eukaryota; Metazoa; Chordata; Actinopteri; Cypriniformes; Cyprinidae. The record is from RefSeq and is a predicted model, not a curated record.
AAAUGCUGUGAUUCAUGUGACGGUGCAUGUGUUUGUUUGUUUUAUUGAUCGAGUACCUGACUGCGGGGGUCGAGGUUCAGAAGCCUCCAGGACUUGUACAUAAGAUCAGAGAAGUGGUACAGCACUCUGAGACGGGUGUUAAGCACUUCAGGGCUGAAGUCUUUGAGGGCAUUAUACUGCGGAGGCACAGAUUGAGAUGACUGUACCUGGGCCUCACAGUUGCAGCCCCAUGCAUACACGUCUCCGGUGUUGGAUAAAGCAAGGAUGUGCUCGCAGCCAACAGCGAUGUCCUCAAUGAAGAUGCCCUCCAAUGCUGGAAUGAUCUGUGGCCGGUUGUGAUUCUUCAGCAUGGAAUCCGGCAGACCUAUCAGACGCUCUGUAAAUACAUACACGCAUAUAAGGGCUGUCUCAACAUCACAAAGAGCCUCGAUCUGUUUGGGUCGCCUUUGCCUUUCACUGUUCCCAUGGCCAAGUUUCCCAUAAUCCCCAUCACCCCAACUAAACACCUCUCCAGUUUCGGUGAGAGCCAAUGAGUGGCCAUCAGACCCAUAUG